AUAAUAGCAUCUGUAUAUUACAAAAUUUGAUAGGCCCCUGCAAUUUGACAGCAUAUUAGCAAUAUAUCAGAAAACUUGGCUGACCCAUGGUUUCUGCGACUCAAGAACAUGAAGAAUGAGUGAUUUCUGUUGCUCGAGAACAUGGCGAUUGAGGACCAGAUCGAGGGGAAGUAGGAAAAGAGGGGAGAUGAAUCGAUUAAUUACCUGAUGGUCAAGUCUACGCCACCUGUGGCCUGGUUGGUGUCGCUCGACCGGCCGGCUCCAAAUCCCUCCAUCUCCUGCGCCCGUCCACCGUCGCCCCGCUCUGGCGAGCUCCUGCCUAGGACGCCACACCUCCCCUCCUUUCUCCCUUCUUCUCUCCCUCACCUCCAUUCUUCUUUCCGCCCAGGAGCCGCAGAUGUCAUGGAUCCGCCCGGGAGGCCACGCCCCAGCCUUCCUCAUCGUCACUGGCGACCCCGGCGUCGCCGCCCGCCUCCGAAUCAGCCUCCCCAGCCCCUGCCGUGCACGGAUCUGGCCCGUGCAAGCAGCCACCGCCGUCGUUCCGCCGCC
Molecule: long non-coding RNA, 549 nt
Filed under: Triticum aestivum (bread wheat)
Lineage: Eukaryota; Viridiplantae; Streptophyta; Magnoliopsida; Poales; Poaceae
Description: long non-coding RNA (TAES_LNC018198)
Source: RNAcentral